UAAUAUAUAAACAAAAUAACUCAGCAAAAAGUAUGUGUCGAUGGUGUUAGUUGUUGGAGGGAAUGGCCCAAGUUCCCAGAGAGAUUGAUUAUAGUUUUAAUGAGAUGAAAACGUUCGUGGGGCUCUUUUUCUGAUCACAUCAUGCCCAAGUAGGAGCGGUCUCCAAAUCAUACCACUCACCUCCACGUGUCUUUCUUCUCUCUCCCUACGUCGCUGCCCACUACGUCUACAUGUUAAACCAAAACAAAAAUUAGCGACUUCGAAGAAAACUGAGAUUUUCUGAAAAGAAAAGAGUAAGUGAUUUUCUAUGUUAUU
Molecule: long non-coding RNA, 315 nt
Organism: Arabidopsis thaliana (thale cress)
Lineage: Eukaryota; Viridiplantae; Streptophyta; Magnoliopsida; Brassicales; Brassicaceae
Product: other RNA
Exons: 1
Source: RefSeq